GACGAACGCUGGCGGCGUGCCUAAUACAUGCAAGUCGAACGCACUGACGUCGACAGAAGGUGCUUGCACUGGAAGUUGAUUGACGUGAGUGGCGGACGGGUGAGUAACACGUGAGUAACCUGCCCUUAAGCGGGGGAUAACAUUUGGAAACAGAUGCUAAUACCGCAUAAAAGUUGAGAUCACAUGGUCUUAAUUUGAAAGACGGCCUUUGGCUGUCACUUAAGGAUGGACCCGCGGCGUAUUAGCUAGUUGGUGAGAUAAUAGCCCACCAAGGCGAUGAUACGUAGCCGACCUGAGAGGGUAAUCGGCCACAUUGGGACUGAGACACGGCCCAAACUCCUACGGGAGGCAGCAGUAGGGAAUCUUCCACAAUGGACGAAAGUCUGAUGGAGCAACGCCGCGUGAGUGAAGAAGGUUUUCGGAUCGUAAAACUCUGUUGUUGGAGAAGAACAGGGACUAGAGUAACUGUUAGUCCUUUGACGGUAUCCAACCAGAAAGUCACGGCUAACUACGUGCCAGCAGCCGCCGUAA
Molecule: ribosomal RNA, 531 nt
Filed under: uncultured bacterium
Lineage: Bacteria
Description: partial 16S ribosomal RNA
Rfam family: Bacterial small subunit ribosomal RNA
Source: RNAcentral